UUGCGAAGCGCGUGUUUCAGCACCACGUUCCGAAAGCUGACGCCCUUCAGUCGCGCCGUCCGGAUGUAUUGCUGUUGCAUCACCUCGGCCAUGCUGGCCCGCGUCAUGCGGGCGAUAUAACCCAUCCCGAAAAGCGCGAUGGUCAACACCGGCAGAAAGAAAUUUUCGAAAGUGGCGUUC
This 180-nucleotide non-coding RNA is filed under the name Palleronia abyssalis. RNAcentral's name for it is "Ruegeria cis52 sRNA". It matches the Rfam family "Ruegeria cis52 sRNA". Rfam says of the family: Cis-encoded. The record is from Rfam by way of RNAcentral. Lineage: Bacteria; Pseudomonadati; Pseudomonadota; Alphaproteobacteria; Rhodobacterales; Roseobacteraceae.